Long non-coding RNA from Herpailurus yagouaroundi (jaguarundi), 640 nucleotides. RefSeq lists it as uncharacterized. The record is from RefSeq and is a predicted model, not a curated record. The transcript is spliced from 3 exons. Lineage: Eukaryota; Metazoa; Chordata; Mammalia; Carnivora; Felidae.
UCACUUUUUUAAAAAAUUGAGGAAGGUUGAAUUCACAUUCCAUAUCAACAUUUGGUGAAAUCUUCCACUUAGCCAGUUCCUUGACAAUUCUGCUCCAGUCUUCCUUUCCACAAUCUCCUUUCCAGUUGUUCCACAUCUGGUUGCUUUCUCCCACCCACUUUCUACAAGAUUUCCCACUCUCCUCUCUGCCCUCUUUACCCAUUUUCAUUACAUUCUUUACAACAGAUGUCUGGCCAACGUUGAAAAUGUUUCCAAGAAAAUUCAUUCUACUCUUAUUACUAACAUCAUCAGAAAGGACUUUUGAACAGUUAAAAAUGUCAAUGCAUUGUUUGAGAAGCUGGAAGUAAUGCCUCUGGAAGUGUUCAAGUAAAGGAACCUAAUUUAACACAGCUUAGCAUUUGAAGAAGACUAAGAUUUGUUUGUUCAAAUAAACAGGGAAGUGUAAAGCCAGUGGGGAUCAUAUGACCAAGGCAGUGAAACAAGGGCUUCAUGAUAAAUAUGCCAUGGACAAAGGUCAAGCAAAGGAUAAUAACUCAAUUCCUUAAAUGAAAGCUUCAAAGUAAAUCUUCUGUGUUUAACAGCAGUAUACAGGGGUCAAGAUUACAAUGUCCCAGACUAGAGAAUAAAAUGUGUGUUAAUA